CCCGCGUGUAUGAUGAAGGCCUUCGGGUUGUAAAGUACUUUUGGCAGAGAAGAAAAGGUAUCCCCUAAUACGGGAUACUGCUGACGGUAUCUGCAGAAUAAGCACCGGCUAACUACGUGCCAGCAGCCGCGGUAAUACGUAGGGUGCAAGCGUUAAUCGGAAUUACUGGGCGUAAAGGGUGUGUAGGCGGUUCGGAAAGAAAGAUGUGAAAUCCCAGGGCUCAACCUUGGAACUGCAUUUUUAACUGCCGAGCUAGAGUAUGUCAGAGGGGGGUAGAAUUCCACGUGUAGCAGUGAAAUGCGUAGAUAUGUGGAGGAAUACCGAUGGCGAAGGCAGCCCCCUGGGAUAAUACUGACGCUCAGACACGAAAGCGUGGGGAGCAAACAGGAUUAAAUACCCUGGUAGUCCACGCCCUAAACGAUGUCAACUAGCUGUUGGGGCCGUUAGGCCUUAUUAGCGCAGCUAACGCGUGAAGUUGACCGCCUGGGGAGUACGGCCGCAAGAUUAAAACUCAAAGGAAUUGACGGGGACCCGCACAAGCGGUGGAUGAUGUGGAUUAAUUCGAUGCAACGCGAAAAACCUUACCUACCCUUGACAUGUCUGGAAAGCCGAAGAGAUUUGGCCGUGCUCGCAAGAGAACCGGAACACAGGUGCUGCAUG
This 660-nucleotide ribosomal RNA is filed under the name Alcaligenes faecalis. RNAcentral's name for it is "bacterial SSU rRNA". It matches the Rfam family "Bacterial small subunit ribosomal RNA", at positions 396 to 1047 of the family's 1533-position model. The record is from RNAcentral. Lineage: Bacteria; Pseudomonadati; Pseudomonadota; Betaproteobacteria; Burkholderiales; Alcaligenaceae.